GCCGGGCCCCCCUGCCUCGUCCUGCCCGCGCGUCGGGGCCGGCGCGGUGCUGCUGGCGCGGCCCGGACAGUGGCAGGUGUGCCACCUUGGAGGUUUCUUUUUGAAGUUUCAACUGAUAUACAAACUUAUUGUGAGUUACCUGCCCUGUCACUACGGCGGUGGGAGAGACUGAAGACGAGAGCAACGCCAAGUCCGAAGACUUCAAAUGAAAAAAGCUGGCUGGGAGAACUUUGCCGAGAAGAGAUCCGCAGCAGAGCCGCGGUGGAAAUGGCUCCAGCAACACAGUUGCAAUUCUCGCAGCUGUGUGAGAGAGCCGGGGGUAAAUGCUGCCCCUGUGCAGCUGAUCCCUCUCAGAAGAACGGAGUUUGGGCAAGAAGUACUGUCUGGAGAUCUAAGAAUAUACAUGAAGUCAUCAUUACUGAUGGAAGGAAGCAGGGGAAAGCUGCAAAACUACUGGAGAACUGCACAUUCAUUAUGUGCAAAAAAAGAAAAAAGAAAAAAAAAGAAAGAAAAAGAAAGAAAAAGAGAAAGUAGUAUUAGGACUACACUACUGCAAUCCAAUGCCACUCCUGUGCACUGACUGCCUGAAUGAAAGCAACUUCAUUGUGCU
This 610-nucleotide long non-coding RNA is filed under the name Gallus gallus (chicken). RNAcentral's name for it is "lncRNA (ENSGALG00010006815.1)". The record is from RNAcentral. Lineage: Eukaryota; Metazoa; Chordata; Aves; Galliformes; Phasianidae.